This 478-nucleotide ribosomal RNA is filed under the name uncultured bacterium. RNAcentral describes it as "partial 16S ribosomal RNA". It matches the Rfam family "Bacterial small subunit ribosomal RNA", at positions 28 to 523 of the family's 1533-position model. The record is from RNAcentral.
GACGAACGCUGGCGGCAUGCCUAACACAUGCAAGUCGAGCGAGUAGAUCCCUUCGGGGUGAAGCUAGCGGCGGACGGGUGAGUAACACGUGGGCAACCUGCCUCAUAGAGGGGAAUAGCCUUCCGAAAGGAAGAUUAAUACCGCAUAAGAUUGUAGUACCGCAUGGUAUAGCAAUUAAAGGAGCAAUCCGCUAUGAGAUGGGCCCGCGGCGCAUUAGCUAGUUGGUGAGGUAACGGCUCACCAAGGCGACGAUGCGUAGCCGACCUGAGAGGGUGAUCGGCCACAUUGGGACUGAGACACGGCCCAGACUCCUACGGGAGGCAGCAGUGGGGAAUAUUGCACAAUGGGGGAAACCCUGAUGCAGCAAUGCCGCGUGAGUGAUGACGGCCUUCGGGUUGUAAAGCUCUGUCUUCGGGGACGAUAAUGACGGUACCCGAGGAGGAAGCCACGGCUAACUACGUGCCAGCAGCCGCAGUAA